RNAcentral lists this ribosomal RNA (407 nucleotides) under uncultured bacterium. RNAcentral's name for it is "partial 16S ribosomal RNA". It matches the Rfam family "Bacterial small subunit ribosomal RNA", at positions 28 to 526 of the family's 1533-position model. The record is from RNAcentral.
GACGAACGCUGGCGGCGUGCCUAAUACAUGCAAGUAGGACGCAGUUGCGAACGGGUGAGUAACGCGUAGGUAACUACCUAUUAGAGGGGGGUAACUAUUGGAAACGAUAGCUAAUACCGCAUACUAGUAGAUGGACCUGCGUGGUAUUAGGUAGUAGGUAGGGUAAUGGCCUAACUAGGCAAAGAUACAUAGCCGACCCGAGAGGGUGAUCGGCCACAACGGGACUGAGAAAAGGCCCAGACUCCUACGGGAGGCAGCAGUAGGGAAUCUUCGGCAAUUGGGGGAAACCUUACCGAGCAACGCCGCGUGAGUUAAGAAGGUUUUCGGAUUGUAAAGCUCUGUUGUUAAGGAAGCGGUACUUAACCAGAAAGGGACGGCUAACUACGUGCCAGCAGCCGCGGUAAUUC